RNAcentral lists this ribosomal RNA (322 nucleotides) under Arthrobacter sp. RNAcentral describes it as "bacterial SSU rRNA". It matches the Rfam family "Bacterial small subunit ribosomal RNA", at positions 139 to 461 of the family's 1533-position model. The record is from RNAcentral. Lineage: Bacteria; Bacillati; Actinomycetota; Actinomycetes; Micrococcales; Micrococcaceae.
UGGGAUAAGCCUGGGAAACCGGGUCUAAUACUGGAUACGACCUUCCCACGCAUGUGGUGUUGGUGGAAAGCUUUUGUGGUUUUGGAUGGACUCGCGGCCUAUCAGCUUGUUGGUGGGGUAAUGGCCUACCAAGGCGACGACGGGUAGCCGGCCUGAGAGGGUGACCGGCCACACUGGGACUGAGACACGGCCCAGACUCCUACGGGAGGCAGCAGUGGGGAAUAUUGCACAAUGGGCGCAAGCCUGAUGCAGCGACGCCGCGUGAGGGAUGAAGGCCUUCGGGUUGUAAACCUCUUUCAGUAGGGAAGAAGCCGGCCCUUGG